UUCAGAUUGCAGGCUGCAACUCGCCUGCAUGAAGUUGGAAUUGCUAGUAAUCGCGAAUCAGAAUGUCGCGGUGAAUACGUUCCCGGGCCUUGUACACACCGCCCGUCACACCAUGAGAGUUGGAAAUACCCGAAGCCUGUGAGCUAACUUUUAGAGGCAGCAGUCGAAGGUAGAGCCAAUGAUUGGGGUGAAGUCGUAACAAGGUAGC
This 208-nucleotide ribosomal RNA is filed under the name uncultured bacterium. Its description in RNAcentral is "partial 16S ribosomal RNA". It matches the Rfam family "Bacterial small subunit ribosomal RNA", at positions 1292 to 1500 of the family's 1533-position model. The record is from RNAcentral.